GCUUGUCUCAAAGAUUAAGCCAUGCAUGUCUAAGUAUAAGCAAUUUGUACUGUGAAACUGCGAAUGGCUCAUUAAAUCAGUUAUAGUUUAUUUGAUCUUACCUUACUACUUGGAUAACCGUGGUAAUUCUAGAGCUAAUACAUGCAAAAAUGGGCGACUUCUGGAAGCUCAGUAUUUAUUAGAUAAAGCCAACGCUGGGUAAAACCAGUUUCCCUUGGUGAUUCAUAAUAAUUAAGCGGAUCGCAUGGCCUUGUGCUAGCGACAGUCCACUCGAUUUUCUGCCCUAUCAUGGUUGAGAUUGUAAGAUAGAGGCUUACAAUGCCUACAACGGGUAACGGGGAAUUAGGGUUCGAUUCCGGAGAGGGAGCCUGAGAAACGGCUACCACAUCCAAGGAAGGCAGCAGG
Molecule: ribosomal RNA, 405 nt
Filed under: uncultured Mucor
Lineage: Eukaryota; Fungi; Mucoromycota; Mucoromycetes; Mucorales; Mucoraceae
Description: partial small subunit ribosomal RNA
Rfam family: Eukaryotic small subunit ribosomal RNA
Source: RNAcentral